Molecule: ribosomal RNA, 61 nt
Filed under: Lasiodiplodia viticola
Lineage: Eukaryota; Fungi; Ascomycota; Dothideomycetes; Botryosphaeriales; Botryosphaeriaceae
Description: partial 28S ribosomal RNA
Source: RNAcentral
UCAAGGUUGACCUCGGAUCAGGUAGGGAUACCCGCUGAACUUAAGCAUAUCAAUAAGCGGA